AAUAAAACUCUGUUGAUAAUCCACUUUAAAGUGAAAAAAAAAGUGCUAAAAAAAGAAAGAAUGGCACUGCAAUAAAAUGUCAGGAAUGACCAAGACAAGUCUGAUGGAAGAAAAAGAACCAAAGCACAGGACACACCAAGUGUGACCUAAAUGCAGAGAGAGUGGGAAACUGAUCCUUAAAGAGCCUGUGUAUCAUGUGGUGUCUGAUUCAAAUCAUCAAUGUUUAAUACUCCUACCAGAUAUUACACAUUUCCCAGAUGACUGAAUGCCACAGAUGAAGGGUCCAUGACAGUCUUUGGAUCUCGAGACUACAGUUCAGUGUUGGGCAUUAAAAAUGUGCUUGGUAGAGGUCUACUGAGUAGGCGAACUUGGAAGAUUUCUGAGCAAGGAAUUCUCAACGAGCAACAGUGUGAUGGCAGUGGGGAACCCCAUGGGACAAAAGAAAGAGGAUAUGUGUAUGUUUUUGUGGAACAGUCUGCAACGUCCUGUAGGCAAAGAGGGAAGGAUCUAGAAUGCGUGUGCCCCGAACUUCAUGUGUGCUCACCUUAACCACACAGAGAAAAUUUCACAUAUGAUGUGGAGACACCACGAAACAAGACCAGCUACACAGACAGGAAGUAGCAGAGGACGGAUAAGAACACAGGUCUGUCUCUUCACUGCUCCAUCACUAAUGCCAUUGGCAGCACUAAGAAGGGGUGACAUGAGGAUGUUUUGUGGAGCAUGACAUUUUAGAAAUUUCUCGGACCUCGAGAGUUCUCGGAUUCAGGAGUCUGGGAACCAGAACUGCUGUAUCCUUCCAUGUCUUGCCUUCUUUGUCGAACUACUCCAUCCAGAUCUGAGAAUUCAUCGUUGAAAUCCUGAAGGGAAACAAGGCAGUGUACAAAAUCCAAUUCCCCUCAUUACACAGGCAGGCCUCUGGAACCCCCAGGCCUUUCCACUUAGGCCUAACCUAUAAAAUACUGAAAAGAAGGGAAGAUUACCCCGUACCACUGGGAUUUCCCCCAACAGGUCAGAGGAUCUGGUUACUGAAACACAUUUUUUCUGGGGAUUUAGAAUCCUGUCAACAGUGGCCAACUUGUUUCAAACAACAAAUGUCUAGGGGGAAAAAAAAAGAGCUGAACUAA
Long non-coding RNA from Lynx canadensis (Canada lynx), 1124 nucleotides. RefSeq lists it as uncharacterized. NCBI's taxonomy places the organism in Eukaryota, Metazoa, Chordata, Mammalia, Carnivora, Felidae. The transcript has 2 exons. The record is from RefSeq and is a predicted model, not a curated record.